RNAcentral lists this long non-coding RNA (1339 nucleotides) under Dicentrarchus labrax (European seabass). Its description in RNAcentral is "lncRNA (ENSDLAG00005029381.1)". The record is from RNAcentral. Lineage: Eukaryota; Metazoa; Chordata; Actinopteri; Moronidae.
GUCACACACACUGUUUGACAUCUGUUGGUUUUUGUUCAGGCUGCAGGGAUCAUUUCUCACUGUGGGGAUCAGACUUAUAACAGGCGCAGUAGUAGGUGGCUGAAUGACUGAGUUUAACUGUCUGGAUCUGCAACUCACAGCCGUUCUUUUUAUUCACAGCUGAGAAAUCAUCUUUCUGAGGAUGAUUGUAACCUGAUUCAACUCGACCAUUACUCUUAUCAAUAUAAAGAAUCACUCUGAAUGUUUCUGUGUCUUUCUUCUGGUACCAGAAUACAUCAUCAUCGUCACACUGGUCAGUUCCUCCACAGCUGAAGGAGACGGUUUGACCAACUCUCCUGGUCAAUGUUAAAUGAUCCUGACUCAGCUCUGCUGCCAUGGCAACCAGCGCUGUAGAGAAACAGACAGAUAGAUGAAGGUUAGUGUGACAGUGUUUGUUAAAGGUUGACUUUGUUGGCUCCUGAUUGGCUGGAAACACUCACCUGAACACAGACAGCACAGAGCAGCAGCUGGGAGGAAAAGCAUUUUGUGCAGUGGUGUUUCCUCUGGUGAACCUGGGGGAGAAGUGGCGCUCUGAUGCAGCUGAGGCCAAACAAGGACGAGCUGUGAGAUCAGACGAGGGCCACGUGGUUUCUAACAGGUCCUCAGACCUCCCAUCAGCCCCUGCGGCCGACAGAUAAGGCUGCCGCUGCUGAUUGACAGCUCGGCUGAAGCUGCUGUGUGCUUUUCAUUUCUUAUUGACACUAUUUCUCUUUGUUUUAUUCUCAUUAUUUGGAGCUUUUUUCUGGAUGAUUCUUUUUUCCCAGACUUCUCUGUUUCUCUGAACUGAUUCAGUGAGAAGUUUCUUCGUCUUGAUUUGAAUCUGACAGCAGAUGAAAAAUCUGGGUGACGAUGAUGCAGAAAUAGAAAAAAGCAUUCCUGUUGGCACAAACACAUUCAGAAAGCCCGUAAAGCGAACACAAGGAGGACUGGAGCCGAACGACCCGCCCAGCUGCACUGGAACUCGAGGUCUCCUGCUCCCUCCGUGAACCACUUCACCAGUGAGCCCCUCUACCACACCUCGCCUACCCAGCUGAUUUCCCCAAGACCUGACCCAACCCGACACACCAGCCACACCACGAGGGGCCUACACCGCUGCACUCAUUGCUUUGCUGCACAAAGAAAAAUAAAGCACCCACCUUAGUGGGUUUUCACUGAACUUUGAUUCUGGUCCAUUCUUGUCCCGCCACAGGAUCUAAAAAAUGUUUGCUCUCAGAGUGGUAAGAUAUGUGGGGACACGAUGCAGAGGGCCUUCCGCGAAUGGGCCUAUGCCAAAUUUGAGGUUGACAAGCUGUCUCAGGUC